GCUGGGCACGGUGGCUCAUGCCUGUAAUCCCAGCACUUUGGGAGGCUGAGGUGGGUGGAUCACCUGAGGUCAGGAGUUCAAGACCAGCCUGGCCAACAUGGUGAAACCCCAUCUCUA
This 117-nucleotide non-coding RNA is filed under the name Pan troglodytes (chimpanzee). The record is from Rfam by way of RNAcentral. Lineage: Eukaryota; Metazoa; Chordata; Mammalia; Primates; Hominidae.